AGUGUGUGCCUGUAUGUUGCCUAAUGGUCUGAAAAUAGGUUUUAACUAUGUUUUUGAUGAUCAACUUACGCAAAUGAAAUACAACUUGUUCUAAUUUGCUCGUUUACUUUUGAUAAAGAUUCAGGUUUUUGGUUUGAAAAUAGGAUUAAGUUAUGUUUUUGAUAAUUAACGUACGUAAAUGAAAUACAACUUCUUCUGAAUUCCUAAUUUACUUUGGAUGAAGAUUUAGGAUUUUGGAAGAACUUUUCUUGGAGUUGAAAAACAAGCCGAUUACAAGUUAUUUUUGGAGUGUAAAGCAGAACACUACAAUGCCUAGGCAUUAUUGCCAAAUCCAUCGAUGGCAUGAGGCAUGGAACUUUUACGAGGAAUAUGAUGUAAUAAAACAUUUGAGAACCUUACUCAGUGUCCCUCGACAGGAUCCCGACUUUGUGGUCUGCUUCUCAAAAAGAUAGCAUUCUGGUGCAGGAGAUGUGCUUAUUUAUCAUUAUUUAUUUAUUUUAUAUUGAUUAUUUAUUGUACAUUCAUCUUUGUUUUUUUAAAAUUCAUCUUUAUUUACUAAAUCAUUAUUGUUACUAUUUUUAUGGCUUUAUGAAGAUAAAAUAUCUAUUAAACCAUGAAUGAUGAGUGUGGUACCACCAUUUCUAUUCUGUUCAGACUUCCAAUAUUUACACAAAGGGUCCACUCAAAGCAGAUAAUGUAACAAGACUGAAGUUCUUUUCUUUUCUUUUUUUUUCGACAUUAAACAUCACCUAUCUGCCCACUAAUCUAAGGAAUGAAUAUAAUCUAUUUUUUUUUUUUUUUUUUUGAGAUCAGUUUUCUUAAGCAUUCAAUAAAAAAUACAUACUGGUAUAUUUUACUUAAAAUACUCACAACGAGUAUUAAAAAUAUUUAUCACUCUCAUUUUGUGUUUAAAAUUUGUUUUAAAAAAUGCAGGUAAAAUGUCAUUUCUGUACCUUGUCCACAACAUGCGUUCUAUCGAUUUUCCAGCAAGUUUACUGUAUAAUGAAGCUGUGUUAAAAAUGUAUACAUACAAGUAUUAUACGUAAAAUAGCAUAAGUCUAAUUAAAUGUGUCAAAUCAAUACUCCUAAAAUCAUUCCACAUUUUGUAUAUGUGUCCAUAGAUACUGCCAUUAGUACAAAAGAAAAGAAAAAUAGAUCUUAAUAUACAUAUUACAGUGUUAGUUAGCCACUUGAAUUCCCCCCUUUUUUAGCCUACUUUCCCAGUAAAAGUCGGAAAAAGAAGAAAAAAGCAUGAAAGAAGGCUUAAUGCAUCUUAAAAAUAUCGCGAAAAACAAAAAAAAAAGUCAAAAAUAAACAAAAUAAUUAAAUAAAUAUCGAAAAAUUAAAAAUUGGAAAGUAGGGUAUUGAGAUGGGGAAAAAUGUCUGUCGGUCUGUCUGUCGGUCGGUCUGUCUGUCUGUCCCCCCCUAAUAACUUUCGAAUGAAUAGUCCGAUUCGAACAAACUUUUUUUUGUUCGAAAGAUCUCGGCAAGGACACCUCAUUCCCAUAUUUCACUUUUUGAUUUGAAGUAUUUUUUGUUCAAUUUUGAACAGUUCAAAAAAACUUAACAUUAGCACAUACGGGGAAAUUCAAGGCAAUUGCGAACUGUGAGGCGAAUUUGCUUCAAACAAACUUUGUAGGAAAAAGCUUUUGAUGAAAAACCUGUAUAUAAAAUAUCUUUUUGAUUUGAACAAUUUUCCGUUCAAUUUUGAACAGUUCAAAUCCUUUAACAUUAGCGCCUACGGGGAACUGAAAGUCAAUGUAGAUUCCGUACUUGAAGGCGGAUUUACUUCAAAUAAACUUUGUUGGAAAUAGCUCUUAACGACCUACUCCCGACUCCGAUAAUUUUGGCGCACCUGACUCCGACUCCUGUGCCUGAAAAUUACUCGGACUCCGAUUUCCCGACUUUGAAUCUGACUUCGUAGCUUUGGCAAAAAUUUAUACACGAAGGACAAAUGACUGACUCCGAUUCUUAGAUAUUCGACUCCGACUUCUUUACCCCAAAAUGAGAUUGACUCCGACUCCGCAGUUAUGGUUUUGACUGUGAAAUAAUUAUUGUUGAUUUGACUUGUUUUUAUUUUUACGCUAAAGUUUUAAUUUAGGUAUUCAAGUUUCGGCGAAUAAACUCGAAGUCAUAUAUGUUUCUACAUAAAGAUAUGCGCAGACGAUUUUUUUUUUUGACAAUGAAAAUUCUUUCUUUAAGUUGACAUUUUAUUGUUUUUAUUUAUUUUGCUAAGUGCAUUAAUUCAUUUGAAAAACUGUUUUUGGCAACUGGGAAAAAGAAACUAUUUUUUUUUUUUUUUUGAUAUGAAGUAUUUAUUUUAAUGAGCUUAUUAAUUUUAAUAAGUAUUUUUUCGUUUUGAAAGCUGUUAAAGAUUUUUUUAAUGGAAAAAAGUGUAUUAGCUGCUUUGUUUAAAAGUUGCUGCUAUUUUAUUUGUUCAGUUUUUUUUUUUUUUUUUUUUUACGCAUCUAAUUUUUUAGAUGAGUGAGGAAUGUUUUAUUCCUAGAAAUCAGCUUAAAGUAUUUUAAAAAUAUGUUUGAAAACAUUUGCAAUUGUAGCUAUUUUUGAGAAUGUUGAUCAGGUACUAGAAAGUAGUAUGGGUAUACGGGAAAGUAGGCUCGUCUAGUUCUAGACAGAACUUCUUGUUAAUCUUAAGUAAGCCAUGCAUAAUUUUAUUUUGAAUGUGAACUAUAGUUGAAUUUUGAUAAAAAUAAACAUUUAGUGGUUAAUUAGUUCUAUUGAGAUCCCUGGUAAUUCCUAUUGUUAAUUAAAUUUUAAAUGUCCUGUUUAAAUGUUGUUUAAUUAGUUCAGAAUAUUUUGUCUUAUAGAAAUAGUUUUAAUUUUUAAAAUAUGUAGAAUAAAACAGAUGUUAAAAAAAAUUUUUUUAAAGUAAACUUUUUUUUUUGGUCCCUCUUAGCAAUUUAAUUGAAGUUUGCUACUCUCACUUUAUCCUUCGUAAAAUUUGAAUACUAAUAAUUGUUUUUUAACUGAGUAGUGCUUUCAUAUUACGUUAAUACAAUAAACUGUUUUCUAAUUAGUUUUUAUUUUGAAAUAUUUUCAGUCUACACUUACAUAUUUUUUGUUUUAACUUCUAAUAAAUAGAAAUUUGGAUACCAACUGCAAAAAAGCAUUUUUUAUGUAGUCUGAUCCAAAGUUUCAGUUUACUACUUAUUUCAGUUUCUUAACUCAAGAUAUGCUACAUAAAUGAGAGAAAGUCAAUGGGGGAAAAUACCAGUGUAAAAAAAUGUAGUAUAAAAUUAAAGGAACAUUCCUGAAAGCGAGAUUAUGUGUAGCAACGUAAUAAAUGGGCCAUAGUGCCCAAUUUCUUUCUUUCUUCUUCUGUACAACAGACAAAUAAAUGAAAUAAGCAAAAUAUGUUCUGAAAUGUUAGGGAAUGAUCUUAUUUAUAAAAAAUAUUACAUAAAAAAAAGUCUUGAAACAAAGCAAAAUUAUGUUAAAAAUAAAGUUAUUGUAAUUUCUGACCCGUCCUUACUGCUCCUUGAAACAGAAGUCGCAAUUUAAAUGAGCAACUUUUUCAUUUAAAAUUAAAAAUAUGUGUUUAUUUACAAAAUUUGAUCCCCUUAAAUGCACUUAGGUACUAUUAAAACAUACAAAAAGGUUUUGCUAACGUACAACACCAAAAAAUUCUUGAGAAUUAUCAAAAUUCAAAAUAUUUCUUCACAAUUGUUGCCAUAUUUUUUUAAAACAUACUAUUGAAAUUUGAAUCAACAUUACUUAAAAUAAAGUCUUUUGUCUAACUUUUCAAUUUUAAUUACUUGAAAAAAAAUCUUUUCCUGAGUUUGUGAAGCAUUCAAGUUGGGACAGUCGUUAAUUUUUUUCAUGAAAGUUGAAUUUAAAACCAUUGCUAAAUUUGGACAGUAAACCCUCAUUAAUCCAGACCCAAUUAAACCUGUCUUUGCUUAAUCUGAACAAUCAUUUAUGUGUACAUGCUGUAUAAAUGAAAGGCCGUUUAGAGCAAUGUAUUUUUGUUGGCUGUAUUUUGUAUUUUUAUAUUUUUCUCUUACGCAGUUUUAUAUUUCAUUGUCUUGAGUUCAAAAUUUUACUGUGUAGAGUAGUUUGUUUAUGCACCUUGGCUGAAUUUGUAGGUUAAUUUGUUUUAUCCAUACUUUCAUUAAUUCAGACGACUUGGAUCCCGUAUUAGUUACUACAUUUAGAUAUAGACCAUUGCAUGGUUUUCAUAUAAGAAUUAAAUUAUGAGAUUAUGAGAUGAAUGUUUCAACUUACCAUAGGCAAAAGUUAAUGAACUCGUAAAAUCACCCAUGUAAGUAUUUUUUAUAUUGUAUCCCCUUUUGGUUAUGAGAAAUAACAUAAACAUGUUUAAAAUUGAAUAUUU
Uloborus diversus is the source of this 4354-nucleotide long non-coding RNA. RefSeq lists it as uncharacterized. The transcript has 3 exons. The record is from RefSeq and is a predicted model, not a curated record. Lineage: Eukaryota; Metazoa; Arthropoda; Arachnida; Araneae; Uloboridae.